Molecule: ribosomal RNA, 229 nt
Filed under: uncultured bacterium
Lineage: Bacteria
Description: partial 16S ribosomal RNA
Rfam family: Bacterial small subunit ribosomal RNA
Source: RNAcentral
UGCGUAGGCGGAUCAAUAAGUCAGUGGUGAAAUCUCUCGGCUCAACCGGGAAACUGCCAUUGAUACUGUUAGUCUUGAGUUCGGUUGAGGUAGGCGGAAUGUGUAAUGUAGCGGUGAAAUGCUUAGAUAUUACACAGAACACCAAUUGCGUAGGCAGCUUACUAGACCGACACUGACGCUGAGGCACGAAAGCGUGGGGAGCGAACAGGAUUAGAUACCCUGGUAGUCC